UCCGGUUUGUCACCGGCGGUCUCCUUAGAGUACCCAACUAAAUGAUGGUAACUAAAGUCGAGGGUUGCGCUCGUUGCGGGACUUAACCCAACAUCUCACGACACGAGCUGACGACAGCCAUGCAGCACCUGUGUGUAGGUCCCCGAAGGGAAGAAAUCCAUCUCUGGAAGUCGUCCUACCAUGUCAAACGCUGGUAAGGUUCUGCGCGUUGCUUCGAGUUAAACCACAUGCUCCACCGCUUGUGCAGGCCCCCGUCAAUUCCUUUGAGUUUUAACCUUGCGGCCGUACUCCCCAGGCGGUCGACUUCACGCGUUAGCUUCGUUACUGAGAGUGUCAAACCCCCAACAACCAGUCGACAUCGUUUAGGGCGUGGACUAC
This 378-nucleotide unclassified non-coding RNA is filed under the name uncultured Pseudomonadota bacterium. Its description in RNAcentral is "uncultured proteobacterium contains 16S-23S intergenic spacer region". Lineage: Bacteria; Pseudomonadati; Pseudomonadota. The record is from RNAcentral.